AUACUUCCCCUCUUCUCUCUAAACCUUCUCUUUCUCUCUCUCUCUCUCUCUCUUCCCUCCCUCUGCUACUUCUUCCUUUUCUCUCCACCACCGUAGACCACCGAAGACCACCAUCCAAACCACCACUCUCCUCUUCUCUUUCCGACGAGAAACACGUCGCGCCACCCUCAUCUCCUCCACUCCAUCUCGCUGUCCAGCAACCCCGCACAUAUCUCUCCCUCUCCGAUCUCUUUCCUCCCAGAAAGGAUAGCCACAACAGCAACAACGAACAACAAAGACACCAAAACCCGCCAAUCCACCAAGACGAGCAUCUUGUCCCUCUCCCUUCUCUGAUCUUCUCAUCUCCUUCCUCCGUUUCUAGAUCUUCGGCGAAGCAGCGAACCACUUUCCUGAUGAAAAGAAUUCCAAGACUUCAUUAGUUCAAAGACAGAUCUGUUACUGAUCCGCCCUGGGGUUUGAACUUCAAAGUUCAAGACACGAAGAGUUGCGAGGGAAAGUUGAGAUGCCAUUAUUUCGUUUUACAUCUUUUAUAUUAUUUUAUUCACUUACCUUUUAUUUAGUUUGUAUUAAUAUUGUAAACUCUACUAUGUAUAAUAAUAAAUAAUUGCGGACUAUCUAAAGGGGGAAGGAAACUAUGUGUUACUUGAUAUUUUUUUUAUUGUAACUUAUUUGUGUAUGUGUUGAAGUACGCUAGAGUUUGUUUGAUUAUCUAAAAA
Long non-coding RNA from Solanum dulcamara, 716 nucleotides. RefSeq lists it as uncharacterized. The transcript has 2 exons. NCBI's taxonomy places the organism in Eukaryota, Viridiplantae, Streptophyta, Magnoliopsida, Solanales, Solanaceae. The record is from RefSeq and is a predicted model, not a curated record.